AUUGAACGCUGGCGGCACGCUUAACACAUGCAAGUCGGGCGGUAACAUGACUAGUAGCAAUACUAGUUGAUGACGAGCGGCGGACGGGUGAGUAACACGUAGGAACUUGCCCAGUAGUGGGGGACAACCAAGGGAAACUUUGGCUAAUACCGCAUAUUCUCGAGAGAGGAAAGCUGACGCCAGGUGGCGCUAUUGGAGAGGCCUGCGUCCGAUUAGCUAGUUGGCGAGGUAAAGGCUCACCAAGGCGAGGAUCGGUAACUGGUCUGAGAGGACGACCAGUCACACUGGGACUGAGACACGGCCCAGACUCCUACGGGAGGCAGCAGUGGGGAAUCUUGGACAAUGGGGGCAACCCUGAUCCAGCGAUGCCGCGUGAGUGAAGAAGGCCUUCGGGUCGUAAAGCUCUUUAGGCUGGGAAGAAGGUUGGUAGUUUAAGAGAUAAUCAAUUUGACUGUACCAGCAGAAUAAGCACCGGCAAACUCUGUGCCAGCCGCCGCCGUAA
Molecule: ribosomal RNA, 502 nt
Filed under: uncultured bacterium
Lineage: Bacteria
Description: partial 16S ribosomal RNA
Rfam family: Bacterial small subunit ribosomal RNA
Source: RNAcentral